This 287-nucleotide long non-coding RNA is filed under the name Brassica rapa (field mustard). RNAcentral's name for it is "long non-coding RNA (BRAP_LNC007873)". The record is from RNAcentral. Lineage: Eukaryota; Viridiplantae; Streptophyta; Magnoliopsida; Brassicales; Brassicaceae.
GUUGAUAUUUUAUUUGUUUUGUUUAUUUGAAUUUUAUUUUAUUUUGGGAUAUUGACGUUAGUUCGAAUACAAAUAUAAGUUUGGACAGAGAAAAUUCCAAAAUAUGUAAAUAUUAUAUAGGUUUGAAUAUUUAAUGCAUAAUUAGGAUAUUCAGUUAUAUCCAAAAAUACUCAAACCUAUAACUUACCAAACUGAAACUGAUCUGAAUAUGAAAAUAGUACACUUUUAAUCAAAAUAUCCAGACCGAACCCUAAUAGUAGCCAGAUGUCCAUAUUGUGUUCAUUAAU